GCCUCCCCGAGCUGAGCCGCGCGUCCCGAGCCCAGCCUCUCCGGGGAGGAGGGACCCGGCGGCGCGGCGUGGGUCGGGAGCGGGCGCCUGGGACUACUUCUCGUUUGAAAGUUUUCAGAGGCCAAAAGUUUGAGCCGGGGCUGCGGAAGGAUCCGGCUCUGGCCGUUGCCGCGCUCGGCGACAACUGGCGACGGAAAUUUGCAUGUGAAUAAGCGGAGGAGCCCGGGGCGGAGUGGGGAGGGCAAGGCCGCGGACAGCCGUGUGCACCGUGCGCUGGGCCGGGCGGGGAGCAGCUGAGGCCACGUUGGGGGACCCCGGGCGCGGGGCAGGGCUCUGGGAGAAGUGGCCUAGCCGUGUGUGCGCCCCUAGCCCAGCGGCUUCACUCCCUCCCGAGGGCCCCGUGGCCGCGGCUUUAGGCGUCCAGAGGAUCGAUCGCCGCCAGACAUCCCUGGCCGUGAUUGCCCGAGCACUUGACCGCGAGGGAUGAGGGCGCCGCGGCCUCUGGACAGGGGGUGCUCAGGGCGCCCCGAGGGAGCAGCCGGGACCAGUGCCUCGCGGACGGAUUGUGCCCCGCUCCCCCAAGGGGGACCCGCGUCGACACGCUCCUCGGUCACCGUCCUCCUCCUGCCCGGGCGCCGCCUGCCUAAGGUGGCCCCAGAAAGCACAAACGGGUCGGGCGGAUCUGCCGCUGGCGCCGGCGCAGCCCCUCCCACGUGCUCCUUCCGGCUGAUUUAUUUCUCCACCACGAUGCCAGGCACGGGCACCCUGUGCCAAGCCUGGUUAAGCGCCAGGAGUCCAAAAUGCCUGCCAUAGUCCCUGCGCAAAGUUCACGGCCUCGUGCCAGGGACAGACAGCGCCCCCUCCCCACCCCAACACAGGGUGGUGAGUGCGAUGGCAGAAGGCGCGUGUCCCGGCGCCCCUCCUGGAGUAGGAGGGCUAAGCCUGCCCUGCGGGGAGACCGAAAGGCUGGGAGGCACCUAGGACUGUGGGGGCCUGGGGGGAGGGCUGCAGAAACCCCAGAGCAUGGUGGCAGAGGCAGGCACAGAAAGCAGGACAAAUCUCACACCUGACCCCAGCAAGCCUUUCCUGGCACACCUCGUGCCAAAUGCUGAGCACUCUGGAAACAGCCAGUGCAGGCGGCCUGUCCCGCCCCUGUAGCUGCUGCUGGGAGUCUCCCUCGCCUGCGUCCUCCCAGAAUCUGGCCUCACUUCUGCAGGCCUGGGGUAACAUCUUGGGGUCAGCGCCCCAGGAGAGGAGGCGCCUGGAGGCAGCAGAGAUGUUUAUGUAACAGCAGCCAGGCAGCCUGGAGGAGCAGAUUUUCCAUAGAAGGAAGCGCGGGGCUGUGCAGCUCCCAGGCUGAGGACUCUGCCCACCACGACGUCCUCUGCUCCCGAGAGGAGAGUGGCCCAUUCGAUGUCCACCCGUCAGGCCACCCAGCAGCCAGGCACGCUCAUAAGCCCGCGUUACGGAUGGUGCGGCUGGGUGCACAGGCCUGAGGGAAGCACAGGCCUCGGCCUCCCAGCUCCCAACCCCUGCACCACCCACAGCCGGGAGUACCCCAUGGACAGCUGUGGCCGAGGAGAAGCCAGGGAUGAGGGGGAUGGGCCUCACCUCCCCACCAGCCUGGGAAGGGGGUGGGCCCCUGGCAAGUAGGAGGGAAGCUGAGGCUCAGAGACAUCAGGAGGAUGCCAGCUCAAGGUCCAGCCAGGCCUUGGUCCUCAGCUGCUGUCAUCCAGUAGGGUAAGUGGGACCCCCAGGAGGUGUUGGGGGACACUCCUCCCCUCCCCCACACUCACGGUCUGUUCACUGCCCAAGGCAGCAGGCUGGACUCGGUGCAGGGACCAUGGCUUGGCGUGGCCAGGUUGGAGUGGCCCCUGGGACUGAAAGCAGGGGGCGUGGGGGCUCUGAAGCGGGGCUGAGUGUGGGGAUGUCCUGUGGCGGGUACCCUGCUGGGUCCUGGGUGGGGGCCACCACCAGGCAGCUGUGGGAACAUUCCAGACCACCUAGGAGUAGGGCCCCUUCACCUUUUGAAGCUGACUGUAAAAAACAUCUGACCUGCGUGCAAAGCUCAAGCCCAGAGGCCUCCAGGGUGUCCAGCCUCCAGGGUGCCUCCUACGCAGCCUCCACGUCCCCAUCCACUGCAGCCGCUGACCAUCGGGCACACCGUGGGGCCUUCGCUGGCCGCCGGGCCUCAGGUUCUGCUGCACCAAGUGAUUUUUAAAGCCCCAUCUGCCUUUCUCCACUAAUAAAGAACUUGGGACAUUU
Long non-coding RNA from Gorilla gorilla gorilla (western lowland gorilla), 2265 nucleotides. RefSeq lists it as uncharacterized. The record is from RefSeq and is a predicted model, not a curated record. NCBI's taxonomy places the organism in Eukaryota, Metazoa, Chordata, Mammalia, Primates, Hominidae. The transcript has 3 exons.